GCCUUCGUGGUGUAACGGUAACACAAUCGGCUCGUAUUCGAGAGAUCCAGGUUCGAAUCUCGGCGAUGGCA
Molecule: transfer RNA, 71 nt
Filed under: Stegodyphus mimosarum
Lineage: Eukaryota; Metazoa; Arthropoda; Arachnida; Araneae; Eresidae
Rfam family: tRNA
About the family: Transfer RNA (tRNA) molecules are approximately 80 nucleotides in length. Their secondary structure includes four short double-helical elements and three loops (D, anti-codon, and T loops).
Source: Rfam by way of RNAcentral